AUGGAACGCGUUCGAACCCUGAGUUUCCUCCCGACGUAACUUGCUUUCUUCCAGAUGCUGAAUCUGCACUUUUAUUAAGAUUUUUUUCUGCUUCCCUGAGCUUGAUUUUCAUGGUAUCCCUGCACUGAGCAGAGGGAUGGACCCAGGAGCCCGGAUGGAGCUUUCCUACUCUAUGAUUCCAUGUUUCAAGGCAGCCAGUGUUCUUCUCUUUUUUACCUUCAGACAUGAGCAUUAUCUUCUAAUGAGGCAUCACUGGAUGAUUGGACAUCCAGUGAUGACAGUCACACAUCUAAAUGCUCUAGAAAAAUCCAGGAGGCUCCCUUUGUCCCCUUAGGUGUUCUAUAUUCCGUGUAUGCAGAUUACAUCAACACCUCAGAUAACCGAGAACCAAAAGAAGUGAUCAACACAAAGCAAACAACUGACACCUGCUGGAGGGAUAUCUGCAUGUGAUGGGCUGUGUGUUGGGAAUAAAGCUCAUGGGUUUG
Non-coding RNA from Python bivittatus (Burmese python), 485 nucleotides. NCBI's taxonomy places the organism in Eukaryota, Metazoa, Chordata, Lepidosauria, Squamata, Pythonidae. The record is from RefSeq and is a predicted model, not a curated record.